This 930-nucleotide ribosomal RNA is filed under the name Varicellaria rhodocarpa. RNAcentral describes it as "SSU rRNA". It matches the Rfam family "Bacterial small subunit ribosomal RNA", at positions 186 to 1166 of the family's 1533-position model. The record is from RNAcentral. Lineage: Eukaryota; Fungi; Ascomycota; Lecanoromycetes; Pertusariales; Pertusariaceae.
AGAUCCCUUAUAUACUAGAAAGAAAUUAAUUUUCGCUUUAAGAAGUUUAUAUCCCGGGUAGCAGUUUUUAAGGGUUAUUCCUUAACUAGCAUAAUAUCCGUAGUCAUGACUGAGAGGUCAAUUGAUCACAGUGUGGCCUGAAUAAAGCCCACAGUUUACUACAGCAGUGGGGAAUAUUGGUCAAUAGCCUAACGGCUGAACCAGCAACUUGGAGGAAUGUAUAGCGAAAGCUAGUUGCAUUACUAAUAGGAUAGUGCAGCAUUGACUAUGUCAACUAAAGUUCUAGGUAGAGUUAUGAUUAUGACAUUUUCUACCUAUGUGUCUUGACCAAAUCACGUGCCAGCAGUCGCGGUAAUACGUGGAAGACUAGUGUUAUUCAUCUUUAGUAGGUUUAAAGGGUACUUAGACGGUAAAUUCAGCCCAAUAAACAAGGGUACUGAUAAGACUAGAGUUUUAUACGAGGGGGAGACGGGAGUACUACCGGUGUAGAGAUGAAAUUUUGUCAUACCGCUAGGACUGGCAACGGCGAAAGCAACCCUUUAUGUAAAAACUGACGUUGAAGGACGAAGGCUUGGUUCACCAACAGGAUUAGUUACCCCAGCAGUCUGAGCAGACAAUGAUGAAUGUCAUAGAUAGGAAAUACUAUUAUCUGUCUAUAAAUGAAAGUGUAAGCAUUCCACCUCAAGAGUAAUGCGGCAACGCAUAAACUGAAAUCAUUAGACCGUUUCUGAAACCAGUAGUGAAGUAUGUUGUUUAAUUAGAUAGUCCUCUAAAAACCUCACCACAAUUUGUAUGUUUAUUUUAUAUAAAUACAAGCGUUGCACGGCUGUCUUCAGUUAAUGUCGUGAGAUUAUGGUUAGUUCCAUUAAUUAACGUAAACCCUUACUUUAUUUAAUUUAAUAUAUAAAGUAGUUCACCGCUAUAUUGGAU